GAUGAACGCUGGCGGCGUGCCUAAUACAUGCAAGUCGAGCGAACGGACGAGAAGCUUGCUUCUCUGAUGUUAGCGGCGGACGGGUGAGUAACACGUGGAUAACCUACCUAUAAGACUGGGAUAACUUCGGGAAACCGUAGCUAAUACCGGAUAAUAUUUUGAACCGCAUGGUUCAAAAGUGAAAGACGGUCUUGCUGUCACUUAUAGAUGGAUCCGCGCUGCAUUAGCUAGUUGGUAAGGUAACGGCUUACCAAGGCAACGAUGCAUAGCCGACCUGAGAGGGUGAUCGGCCACACUGGAACUGAGACACGGUCCAGACUCCUACGGGAGGCAGCAGUAGGGAAUCUUCCGCAAUGGGCGAAAGCCUGACGGAGCAACGCCGCGUGAGUGAUGAAGGUCUUCGGAUCGUANAACUCUGUUAUUAGGGAAGGACAUAUGUGUAAGUAACUGUGCACAUCUUGACGGUACCUAAUCAGAAAGCCACGGCUAACUACGUGCCAGCAGCCGCGGUAAUACGUAGGUGGCAAGCGUUAUCCGGAAUUAUUGGGCGUAAAGCGCGCGUAGGCGGUUUUUUAAGUCUGAUGUGAAAGCCCACGGCUCAACCGUGGAGGGUCAUUGGAAACUGGAAAACUUGAGUGCAGAAGAGGAAAGUGGAAUUCCAUGUGUAGCGGUGAAAUGCGCAGAGAUAUGGAGGAACACCAGUGGCGAAGGCGACUUUCUGGUCUGUAACUGACGCUGAUGUGCGAAAGCGUGGGGAUCAAACAGGAUUAGAUACCCUGGUAGUCCACGCCGUAAACGAUGAGUGCUAAGUGUUAGGGGGUUUCCGCCCCUUAGUGCUGCAGCUAACGCAUUAAGCACUCCGCCUGGGGAGUACGACCGCAAGGUUGAAACUCAAAGGAAUUGACGGGGACCCGCACAAGCGGUGGAGCAUGUGGUUUAAUUCGAAGCAACGCGAAGAACCUUACCAAAUCUUGACAUCCUUUGACAACUCUAGAGAUAGAGCCUUCCCCUUCGGGGGACAAAGUGACAGGUGGUGCAUGGUUGUCGUCAGCUCGUGUCGUGAGAUGUUGGGUUAAGUCCCGCAACGAGCGCAACCCUUAAGCUUAGUUGCCAUCAUUAAGUUGGGCACUCUAAGUUGACUGCCGGUGACAAACCGGAGGAAGGUGGGGAUGACGUCAAAUCAUCAUGCCCCUUAUGAUUUGGGCUACACACGUGCUACAAUGGACAAUACAAAGGGCAGCGAAACCGCGAGGUCAAGCAAAUCCCAUAAAGUUGUUCUCAGUUCGGAUUGUGGUCUGCAACUCGACUACAUGAAGCUGGAAUCGCUAGUAAUCGUAGAUCAGCAUGCUACGGUGAAUACGUUCCCGGGUCU
Molecule: ribosomal RNA, 1372 nt
Filed under: uncultured bacterium
Lineage: Bacteria
Description: bacterial SSU rRNA
Rfam family: Bacterial small subunit ribosomal RNA
Source: RNAcentral